RNAcentral lists this ribosomal RNA (300 nucleotides) under uncultured bacterium. RNAcentral describes it as "bacterial SSU rRNA". It matches the Rfam family "Bacterial small subunit ribosomal RNA", at positions 496 to 795 of the family's 1533-position model. The record is from RNAcentral.
CGCGACGACGUGCCGGCAGCCGGAGGAAUAGGUAGGGUGCAUGGUUUGGCCGGUAUAUGUGGGGGUAGAGGGCGCGUAGAGGGUCCAUCGCGUCGGGAGUGAAAAGCUGGGGCUUAACCCCAGUCCUGCUUCCGAUACGGGUGGACUAGAGGUAGGCAGGGGAGAACGGAAUUCCUGGUGUAGCGGUGAAAUGCGCAGAUAUCAGGAGGAACACCGGUGGCGAAGGCGGUUCUCUGGGCCUUACCUGACGCUGAGGAGCGAAAGCGUGGGGAGCAAACAGGAUUAGAUACCCGAGUAGUC